This 382-nucleotide ribosomal RNA is filed under the name Triticum dicoccoides. RNAcentral's name for it is "rRNA LSU_rRNA_eukarya". It matches the Rfam family "Bacterial large subunit ribosomal RNA", at positions 2221 to 2610 of the family's 2925-position model. Lineage: Eukaryota; Viridiplantae; Streptophyta; Magnoliopsida; Poales; Poaceae. The record is from RNAcentral.
CCUUGUUUCAUUUAUAAUUAUAUGAUGACGUGGCAUGUUCUAUGGGACGUAGGCCUCCCAAAAGGUAACGGAGGCGUGCAAAGAUUUCCUCGGGCCAGACGGACAUUGGUCCUCGAGUGCAAAGGCAGAAGGGAGCUUGACUGCAAGACUCACCCGUCGAGCAGAGACGAAAGUCGGCCUUAGUGAUCCGACGAUGCCGAGUGGAAGGGCCGUCGCUCAACGGAUAAAAGUUACUCUAAGGAUAACAGGCUGAUCUUUCCCAAGAGUCUACAUCAACAGGAAGGUUUGGCACCUCGAUGUCGGCUCUUCUUGCAUGUUGGGAUAUUUUUUUGGCAGAAUGACUCUCUUAGUAUAUUGGAUUAAAUAGAAAUGCAUGUUAGUU